Molecule: ribosomal RNA, 206 nt
Filed under: Candidatus Magnetominusculus dajiuhuensis
Lineage: Bacteria; Pseudomonadati; Nitrospirota; Nitrospiria; Nitrospirales; Nitrospiraceae
Description: partial 16S ribosomal RNA
Rfam family: Bacterial small subunit ribosomal RNA
Source: RNAcentral
GAAUCGCUAGUAAUCGCGGAUCAGCUACGCCGCGGUGAAUACGUUCCCGGGCCUUGUACACACCGCCCGUCACACCACGAAAGUUUGUUGUACCCGAAGAGGGUGAGCCAACCGUAAGGAGGCAGCUCGCUAAGGUAUGGCCGGUAAUUGGGGUGAAGUCGUAACAAGGUAGCCGUAGGGGAACCUGCGGCUGGAUCACCUCCUUU